RNAcentral lists this microRNA precursor (97 nucleotides) under Nicotiana sylvestris (wood tobacco). RNAcentral's name for it is "MIR6152 microRNA precursor family". It matches the Rfam family "MIR6152 microRNA precursor family". Lineage: Eukaryota; Viridiplantae; Streptophyta; Magnoliopsida; Solanales; Solanaceae. The record is from Rfam by way of RNAcentral. RNAcentral also lists the same sequence under 1 other name.
UGGACAGAUUAUUGUAUUCGACUGUAUUCACUGCGUGAAACAAGGGAUUACAACUGUUUUUAAACGAAAAGUGAAUUAAUUAACAUAAUAGACUCCU